AUGAUCCACACAUCAAGACAUGACAUACAUACUAAAACAUGUGCCCACAUGCAAAACCUAACGAUACCCACUCUUCCAAAUUCACCCAUAAUACCUCAUGCAUUCAGAAAUUUCAGGUUGAAAGUAUAAAGUAGUGGAAGUAGGGCAUACCUGAUUGGGGAGGAUCGAUUGAAAUUGAAUUGCACCCUUGGCUUUGCAGAACAAUCUUAGGGUUUAUAUGAGAGGGAAUUGGUUCUUUGCAGAUGAGUUCCCUUCAGUCUCU
RNAcentral lists this long non-coding RNA (262 nucleotides) under Lathyrus oleraceus (garden pea). RNAcentral describes it as "Pisum sativum (pea) long non-coding RNA (PSAT_LNC001014)". Lineage: Eukaryota; Viridiplantae; Streptophyta; Magnoliopsida; Fabales; Fabaceae. The record is from RNAcentral.